AUAUUCUGUAGCAAGGUUAACCGUAUAGGGGAGCCGUAGGGAAACCGAGUCUUAACCGGGCGUUAAGUUGCAGGGUAUAGACCCGAAACCCGGUGAUCUAGCCAUGGGCAGGUUGAAGGUUGGGUAACACUAACUGGAGGACCGAACCGACUAAUGUUGAAAAAUUAGCGGAUGACCUGUGGCUGGGGGUGAAAGGCCAAUCAAACCGGGAGAUAGCUGGUUCUCCCCGAAAGCUAUUUAGGUAGCGCCUCGUGAAUUCAUCUCCGGGGGUAGAGCACUGUUUCGGCUAGGGGGCCAUCCCGGCUUACCAACCCGAUGCAAACUGCGAAUACCGGAGAAUGUUAUCACGGGAGACACACGGCGGGUGCUAACGUCCGUCGUGAAGAGGGAAACAACCCAGACCGCCAGCUAAGGUCCCAAAGUCAUGGUUAAGUGGGAAACGAUGUGGGAAGGCCCAGACAGCCAGGAUGUUGGCUUAGAAGCAGCCAUCAUUUAAAGAAAGCGUAAUAGCUCACUGGUCGAGUCGGCCUGCGCGGAAGAUGUAACGGGGCUAAACCAUGCACCGAAGCUGCGGCAGCGAACGUAUCACCCAAGACAACUUUACGGAGUUGACGAUUGACGGAGCGAAGCGACGUCAAAGCGUUCAUUAAAGUCGAGUUGGCUUAGGGAUACGUUCGUUGGGUAGGGGAGCGUUCUGUAAGCCUGUGAAGGUGUGUCGUGAGGCAUGCUGGAGGUAUCAGAAGUGCGAAUGCUGACAUAAGUAACGAUAAAGCGGGUGAAAAGCCCGCUCGCCGGAAGACCAAGGGUUCCUGUCCAACGUUAAUCGGGGCAGGGUGAGUCGACCCCUAAGGCGAGGCCGAAAGGCGUAGUCGAUGGGAAACGGGUUAAUAUUCCCGUACUUGGUGUUACUGCGAAGGGGGGACGGAGAAGGCUAUGUUGGCCGGGCGACGGUUGUCCCGGUUUAAGCGUGUAGGUGUGUGUUCCAGGUAAAUCCGGUUCACUUUAACACUGAGGCGUGACGACGAGGCACUACGGUGCUGAAGCAACAAAUGCCCUGCUUCCAGGAAAAGCCUCUAAGCAUCAGGUAAC
This 1089-nucleotide ribosomal RNA is filed under the name Salmonella enterica subsp. enterica serovar Typhimurium. RNAcentral's name for it is "partial 23S ribosomal RNA". It matches the Rfam family "Bacterial large subunit ribosomal RNA", at positions 630 to 1635 of the family's 2925-position model. Lineage: Bacteria; Pseudomonadati; Pseudomonadota; Gammaproteobacteria; Enterobacterales; Enterobacteriaceae. The record is from RNAcentral.